This 105-nucleotide ribosomal RNA is filed under the name Dipodomys ordii (Ord's kangaroo rat). Lineage: Eukaryota; Metazoa; Chordata; Mammalia; Rodentia; Heteromyidae. The record is from RNAcentral.
GUCUAAGGCCAUACCACCCUGAACGUGCCCGAUCUUGUCUGAUCUCGGAAGCUAAGCAGGGUAGGGCCUGGUUAGUACUUGGAUGGGAAAAAUAGCUAUUAGUUA